RNAcentral lists this ribosomal RNA (468 nucleotides) under uncultured bacterium. RNAcentral describes it as "partial 16S ribosomal RNA". It matches the Rfam family "Bacterial small subunit ribosomal RNA", at positions 28 to 507 of the family's 1533-position model. The record is from RNAcentral.
GACGAACGCUGGCGGCGUGCUUAACACAUGCAAGUCGAACGGAAAGGCCCUGCUUUUGUGGGGUGCUCGAGUGGCGAACGGGUGAGUAACACGUGAGUAACCUGCCCUUGACUUUGGGAUAACUUCAGGAAACUGGGGCUAAUACCGGAUAGGAGCUCCUUCUGCAUGGUGGGGGUUGGAAAGUUUCGGCGGUUGGGGAUGGACUCGCGGCUUAUCAGCUUGUUGGUGGGGUAGUGGCUUACCAAGGCUUUGACGGGUAGCCGGCCUGAGAGGGUGACCGGCCACAUUGGGACUGAGAUGCGGCCCAGACUCCUACGGGAGGCAGCAGUGGGGAAUAGUGCACAAUGGGCUGAAGCCUGAUGCAGCAACGCCGCGUGCGGGAUGACGGCCUUCGGUUUGUAAACCGCUUUCGCCUGUGACGAAGCGUGAGUGACGGUAAUGGGUAAAGAAGCACCGGCUAACUACGUG